This 8918-nucleotide long non-coding RNA is filed under the name Triticum aestivum (bread wheat). RNAcentral's name for it is "long non-coding RNA (TAES_LNC002673)". The record is from RNAcentral. Lineage: Eukaryota; Viridiplantae; Streptophyta; Magnoliopsida; Poales; Poaceae.
CCCGGUCCGGUCCCGUUCCGUUCGUUAGGGUUUAGUAGUAGCGGGGAAGAGGAAGGAAUGGCGGACGUCGAGUACCGCUGCUUCGUCGGCGGCCUCGCCUGGGCCACCGACGACCAGUCCCUCCAGAACGCCUUCUCCAAGUACGGCGACGUCAUCGACUCCAAGGUACCGUCCCCUCCCCGAUCCGCCCGAUAGAUCUGUAGAUUCGAGAUGGAUCUGUGGUGUUGCGCUUGUGGAACCCUAGAUCUGACGGUUUUGUUGGUGCAGAUCAUCACUGACAGGGAGACGGGCCGAUCCCGCGGGUUCGGGUUCGUCACCUUCGCGUCGGACGAGGCGAUGCGCCAGGCGAUCGAGGCCAUGAACGGCCAGGACCUGGACGGCCGCAACAUCACCGUCAACGAGGCGCAGUCCCGUCGCUCCGGCGGAGGAGGCGGCGGCGGCUUCGGCGGCGGCGGUGGCGGCUACGGGGGCCAGCGCCGUGAGGGCGGCGGCGGCGGCGGCUACGGCGGCGGCGGCGGCGGCUACGGAGGUGGCCGCAGCGGCGGCGGCGGCGGCUACGGCAGCCGUGACGGCGGCGGCUACGGAGGCGGCGGCGGCGGCGGCUACGGCGGCAGCCGCGGCGGCUCCGGCGGCGGCAACUGGAGGGAGUGAAUGGUGGGGCCCCUAGCUGGCCAGUUAUCCUAGUUACCGAUCCCUUUUUUUACCUGUCUACCAAAGUGUUAUCGCUCGCUCCCGAGUACCCUAGAUCUCGCUCCAUCGCGUAGGUUCCGAGAUGUUCUGGCUACCGUUAGAUGUGACGCCGCUACCGUUCCGUGUUACUUGUUACCGUCCCUGUUCCGUUCGCUAUGAAUGAAAUGAAAAAUCAGAGCAAAAGUUUGUUCGCAUGUUAUGCUUCCUUGGAAGUUUGUUCCUUUUUUCUUUUUGUGCCGUGAAGUUGGCGCUCGAUGAUAAUUUUGCUGCGCCCACUGGAUGAUAUUUUGGCGCCGAUUGGCUGGAUUGGAUUAAUCCUUACAAAUCUAAGAAGUGCAUUUUUUUCAAAAAUUGGUGCAGAUGGUCAUGCGUUCAGGCCGUGCCCUGACAAUGAUUGAAUUUAGAGAAAAAAGGCAUGAUGUCAAGGAAUUGCUCAAAUAAAGUUAACAGAAUCAUGUUCCAUGAUGAAUUAAAACUCUUAGCAAUUAGAUGAUAUAACUCAAAUUUUAAACGUAGCAGAUUGGGGACUCGCAAAAUACUGUUACCACAUUAUGGAUCAAAUAAUUUCUUAAAAAUAUGCAACACAAAAGGUAAAUCAAUUUGCAAGUUUCGCACCAAAAAUUAUUGUACACGCAUACACCGGGGGUGAAAGUACAAUAUAUUCAAUGGAUAGAAGUAGUAAGAAGUUGCAUAGUUGAGCAGUUUCUGAUGCAGCUGUGGAUUCAUUCCGAUAUAUGCAAAUAUCUGUUGGGUGUGCCGAACCGAAGAGAUAAACAAUCAGCUUAAUAGUCAAAGAACCUAUCUGCAAGUAUAUAUAUAUAUGAGACAAAAGGAAUUAUAUAUAUAGUUACAGAACACUAAAAAAAUAAUGCGCACACACACUUAAUUGAAGGAUCAGCUUAAUAGUAUAUGCCAAUUGCUGGGGAGGUGGGCAUCGCUCAGCGAUGGUAGAUUUCGACGCUCAUGUAUGCUCGUUUAAGCCGCGGGGCCGGUGGCGGCGCGAUGACAAACACAUGUGGUGCGGGGCACGGAGUUGAUGGAGCCGCCGCGACCAGAGGAAGAGCCAGGCUCAUGGUCGUGCUUCCCCUUACUGAUCCAAUGCCAGCCCAUGGCGCCGACGGGGAGGUAGGUGAGAGGGAUGUGUCGGCGGCUAGGGUUUGCGAGCUCGUGUCGGGGCUCGAGGGGGCAACCCGGCUCGAAAGUGGAAGCCGCGGACUGGCCGGUCCAUGGCUUCCACAUUAAGAAGGACGACAACCGGGGCUGUUGGGUGGCAAACGAACGGACCCGCCGCGCGUGCGCACUUAAUUUGGGCGUUGGAGGUAGGUGAACGGCCGCCACACGUCACGCGGGCGGACUGGAAGCGAGCGAGCGCGUGUUCGUUCGCCGUUCGUGCUGCAAAUAGGGCGCGCCGGCCGCGAAACGUACAACAUCUGCGGAUGCGGCUGCGUGUUGGACCAUGGGUUGUGUCCGUUUGGCCCAAAACGGACGCUCGCGGACCAGACAGGGUCUGCGUUGAAGUUGGCCUCGGGUUUUCCACUCCACUGCUCUCGUGCAGCAGCAGGCGGGGCACGUGUGUGGUUGAGAAACCCGGGCAUGGACAGCCCAGCCCGGCGACCCGGCCCGAGAAACCUGGGCCUGGAUUACAAAGAAAGAAAACAGUUUCGGGCAGGGCUCGGGCUUUGAAUUCCAGCCCGAAAUUAGCCCGGCCCGGCCCACCUAUACGUGAAAAUGGAGAGGAUUAGAGGAGGUAGGCCGACAUCCAGCAGCCCACCACGGUCUACCAGCCUCCCCCGAGGCCCAGAGCCCCAUCGCCACAUCGCUAACCUAGCCGCCAUCGACGGCGCCCACACUGGUCGGCGGUGGCUCACCCUGGACGGCGGCGGGGCCCUUUAUAGGGACUGGAUCGACCUUCACCGCCCCGUACUUUUGUUCUGGACGCCUCAGCUCCGUCGGUCUCCAGUGAUCUCGGCCGCAUCUCGUCGUCUCCAUCGACGCCGGAACAACACCAGGGCCUCUUCUCCACCAUCCAGCUCGGUAAGCUCGUGCUAGUGCUGCCCGUGAUCCGUGUCAAGUGUAUGAAAUAGCUGCCGGCAAGUGUUGAUGACAUGUUGUGAUGCUAUAUUCUGAAUUCCUGAUAUGUUCGUAAAUGCUAUAUUGUGAAAUGUGUAUGCCAUGAUCUGUUCAUAAAUGCAUUUGUUUAUCUUCGUGAAUUUGUGAUAGAGUAUGAUGCCAAUGCCAUAUUGUGCUAGACUGAUUUGUAAACCUAACGUAGCCAUGGCCGCCGGCGGCGACCACCCGGACGCCAACAAGCGGAAGCGCGAGGCGGCGGGGAGGUCCAAGGCGCCGUCCAAGGGGGCCACCAAGCGGAGCAAGACCUACGGCGCCCCCGCCGCCAAGGCCGAGCCGCAGCCCGUCACCGCCAAGGACAAGCGGGUCGCCGCCAAGGUAUCCCAUUGGUGCUCCUUUCCUGUUGUGAGCUAGUUUGGGGCCCGGGUGUUGGUUUAGUACUUUAGUUAGUUCAUGGGCUGCUUGAGCUUGAGCUGAAACCGGAAUGCUGUUGGCUGUUGUGGCAGGAAAUGUCCGAGUCGAGGAAGAUGAAGAGGAAGCCCAAUUACAACCUUGAGAAGGUAAUUUUUUGCUUGCUUUCCCUGCCACGCCUGCUCCGAUUAUGGAUGCGCAACUCGGCUCCUGGGUGUGGGUUUCAUCAUGUACCUUUUCAGUAGCAACCCUUGCAUGCUCAACCUUCAGAAUGCACUUGCUGCGUAUAUAGUACCAGUUAGUAAAUCGACGUAUGAUGCUUGUAGCCUAAACCAAAACAACAGACCUCUGACUAUUUACAUGAUUAAAUCAAUCUUCUGGAUUUUUAGUUCCGGACUUGAAUUCUGGUGGUACCGUCGUACCGUUACUUAAUUUUGACAGCGAAGCAAAAACUGGCUUUCAUCCCAGUAAUGGACAGUACCAGUGCCUUCUUGAACCGUCAACUCUGUUUAUGAUGAUUCAGUAACAUACUUUGUGUCGACUCUAAUUUGGUGUGCUCCCGCGCCCAAUAUUGACAGGAACUGGCAGUACUAUGGGAAAAGAUGAGAUGUGAUGUGAGCAAGGAGAAUAGAUCGAAGUAAGUGUCACUAUUAAAGUCUUGUGAGUUGCAACUUGUGUUCAACUUCUUAUGCCGAUGAGUUUGUCAUCUCUGCGGCAGGCUAGUAACCAAGGCUCUCCGUAAAAUGGAUGGCAAAUAUUUCGAAAUUGCUGGAUCCCAUGUAACCGCACGUGUUCUUCAAGUAAGUGGACAGCAUCCAUUCUUUAUGACCGCGUUGCUUAUGGUGUUUUGGUGCUUAUUCUGAUAGCCGCCAUUCCUUUUUCAGACAUGUGUCAAGUGGUGCUCACAGCCAGAGAGGGAUGCUGUUUUUGUUGCCCUGCAGCCACAUCUGCUCCAUCUUUCUCACAAGAAAUAUGCUGUUUUCCUUGUGAAGAAGCUCAUAAAAACUCGGUAAAUUUCUCUACGAUUCGCCAGAAACUUGUAUGGGUUCAUAUGUGAGAAUGUUGCUCGUUUGUUUGAUAACCCGUAGCUUCACUAAUAUACCUCUUGUUUGUGACUGCAGCCACUAAAAAACAGCUUGCUUUGUUCAUCUCUUCCCUUCAUGGUCAUGUCGCUUCUCUACUUCGUCACACAGUAGGAGCUGCAGGUAUGUGCUGCUAUGUGUUGCUGUCAUAAGGGGUAGGAACUCGUCGUGUAUAGGAGCAGCAGGAGUUAAUGGUUGAAUGCCAUUGUAUGCAUGCGUUUCUAUUUGCUAUACAAGUAAAGGGUUACAUGGUAAUCUCACAUUGAGAUACACUCUUUCUUGCAGUUCUUGAUUGCGCCUUUCAUCAGGCGACACCGCCUCAGAAAAGAAGCUUGUUGUUGGAAUUGUACUCCACCGAGCUUCAGCUGUUCAAGGACCUGACUGAACAAAAAUCAUGCAGGUUGGCACGCUAUAAUGUCUUGUCAUACAUCUGCUUUGAAGUUUCCCCUUAACUUCUUUUACUUGUCUGUUGAAAACUUAAACUUUGGCGGAGGGAAAUAUUAUUGUAGUCAUCCACUUAUCCUGCCAUAGGUGGCUGCAGUUAUUUGUUUAGUUCAAUAUAUACUAAAAUUCACCUUCCUUUUUCAGUUUGUUAGAAACAAUUUCCAAGCUUGGACUGCACAAAUCAUCUGUCCUGCAGUACAUGGCUACUGUUAUCCAGCCAGUUUUGGAAAAAGGCAUUGUUGAGUAUGCCAUAGUACACGUAGUCAUAUUGGAGUACUUAACAAUUGCGGAUAAGGUAAAUGUAUUUUAUUGACGCGAUUGGCCUAUCUUUACAACAAAGCUCUCCUUUUUUGGUGAAAUGUUUCUUCAGCUUAUCGCACUAUCUAGUAUAUGCAUGUGUUCUGUAUAAGGAUGCAAGCGGGCAUCCCGCAUAAGCCCGCCAAAACAGGAAUUUAGUUCAAACUGAACUAAAGCUGAACCGGAAAGAUUAUAACUAAGUUGAUUUACUUUGACUACGAAGCGGGGUGGAUCGGGCGCCGCCUUGCAUCCCUAGUUCUGUAGACAUCAGCCUUGGACGUGAUUCGUCAGUUAAUCCCCCAUCUUACUCAAGGGUCAUCUGUCGUAGAUGGAGAUGAACUAUCAGGUGUCGCUGAAGUACCAACAAAAUCAAAAGCUAAGAAGAAGAGAUCUUCAGAACCAUUUCUCAUUCGGAUCAUGCAGACGAGGGAAGGAUUAAAAUUAGGUCUUGCUUGCCUCAAGCAUGGCAGUCGAAGGUACAUUGUCUUUUUUCUUUCUUUCCGUUUUCUUAUUUGUAUCUCGAAGGACAGAUUUCAGAGCGAUCACUUGGUAUAACUUUGCCCACUCAGCUGCUUUAUCCAAAGUUUAUUUAUUAACUUAUGUAGAUUUCAGAGACACUAAAUAGUCACGCAAAUUGAACCAUGCAUUUGUUAGUGCUGCAGGCUGCAUAUUCAGUAGUAUUUCUUUUCAUUCUUGUUUAUUUCCAGUGUGCUUUUGCCAUUUAACAUGGUAAUGCAUUUCAGGAUAGGAAGAAAAUUAUCAAAAGCUUGAAGGGGCAGGUUAUGAAGCUUGCUCUCAGUUAUUAUGGAUGCCUUGUAAGUGAUGUCUAUAUAUGUAAUAUAUUUUAGUGUUUAAAUAUGAUGCUACUGUGUGAAUUUAUGCUUUAACUUUUAAAACAUUCUCCCCAAUAUACAGUAAUUUCAUAUGGUUUUAUUCUUCCAAGUGAUUAAUCAUCAACUAAACUAUCAUGUCUUUUUUUCUCCAGUUUCUUGCUUGUCUUCUCUCCAUUGUUGAUGACACAAAACUUGUUACUAAGGUUAGCCGGCACCCAUCGUUUGCUUGAAGCAAGUGUUAUGCUGCCAUUACAAUUGACAAGCAAUCUGAAGAGACAAUGCUUAUAGCUCACUUUUAAUAUUUGUAGGUUGUAAUUGAAGAGCUGACAAAGCAGUUAAAGGAACUCAUAUUUGACAAGGUAAAAGGAAUAAUGAGCUUCUGAUAUGCUUGUUUUUAUUUGUUAGUUAUAAGCACAUGAGACUAUUUAUGAUGGAUCUCCUUGCUGGAACAGAACGGGAGACGCCCAUUGCUGCAGCUACUUCACCCACUUUGCUCACGUUAUCUGACUCCGACUGAUUUGAUUUGUCUGAAGUACCGUGUGCCUUCCCUUAUUUCAAAGGCAAGUGACCUACUCCAUUAACUGUUAAGUACUUUGAAGAGAGACAGGCCCCCAGAAUUUUGCUUUUUUUUUGUUUCAGGAUGAGGCAUCAGAGAGUGCUAUUAACGUUAACUUGGAUAGUAAGCUGGAUGAUGUAGCUGAGAAGAACAUAGGGGUUCAGAAGACACACUGGUUGCAUCUGAUAGCAAGAAGGACCCAUUUAAACGGCGGCAAGAACUGUUGGUGAAAAGCGAGCUUUUUGAGGUGAUACUCAUAACAUGUAUUUAACCUUUUAGUUAUUUAUUCAUCGGCAUUUCUUUUGGAGCAUGUAGUUUCACCGUUCACUAGAUCUAAAUUUAUUUUCAGUAGUGUAUAUACUGAUUUAAGGGCGACCAUUUGUUAAAGAACACCGAGUCGCAACAUUACUACGCUCCCAUAGUCACGUACCCCAUAACCUCAGCAAUAAUAUAGAUGUUCGUUUUUCUGUGCAGGUUCUCAUCGAGACUUGCAUUGAAAAUGUUGGAGAGUUACUUCGAACAAACUUUGGCAAAGAUAUAUUAUAUGAGGUAAAUCUCCUUGGUCCAUGCUCAGGUUUCUACAUGUACCUUUAUAGCCAGUAUCUUGGGAUAAUAUUCAUUCAUCUAUGAUAUUAUUAUUCAUUCAUCUAUAGCCAGGAACUACUUGUGAUAAAUAUGCUUUUACUUGCAUGCAUGACCUUCUCAAGAGACGAGCAUUGUUCCUGAUUAUUAUUCGACAAUGUGGAAAUAUUCUUAUGAGUUGAUGGAGCCUUUUCUCUGGGAUGUGUUGGUCCUUGUGCCCGUGUGUAGUAUUACUGCUAUUCAGUCUUCCUUAAUGAUGAGUCAACCUCCUGUAAAAGAAAACGGCACUCCAGUCUACACAAACCUACCUUAACUACUGUUUUCUUGGUCUUAACUCUUGAUACAAACGAUUAAUUGACUAUCGAAGAGCUUCAUGAUUGCGCCUGCUGAGAUUUUGCAUUCCAAAUUUUCCAUGGUUGCUGUAGGUGGAAAAAAUAAUGUCUUGGAGGGGGUCACCGACAGGAUUCACGCGCUCCACAAUGCUAUAGUUUGUGACGCAGCACGCCCGAGGAUAGAAGAUGUUGAGCUGAGCACGCCUUUGAUAACUACCACUCGAGCCGCAUAAUCAGAAAGAUGAUACUUGAUUGCCCUGCGUUUGCCGCUACCCUAUGGAAAAAGGCCCUCAAAGGGAAGUGCAAGCCAUUUGCGGACGGAUUCAGGUACCUCAGAAUGACUCGUCGUCGAUAUAUCAAGCUGUUUAAUCUGUUCAUCAAAUUUGUGGACCAUGCAAAUGCGAUGAAUAAAAUUUCAACUAUUCGUUGCAAUUUACGCACUGCAUUGCACUGCUGAGUUCGUAUUUUUGAAGAAAGAAAAAACACGAAAUCAUGCGCUGGUACUCUGUUGAACUUGUUGGCCGCCGCUGCAGCUCCAAGGUGGUGGCUGCCUAUAUGGAAUCUCCGGAUUCCAAGGUGGAGGAUCUUGCGAAAUCCGAGGCGCAGCCGCUCAUCAAGAGGCGGCGUCCGUGCUUGCAUGUUGGAUGAAAGAGUGUAAUACAUACAUCCGCUGUCAUCCUAGGUGAGGUGUAUGCUGAAUUUUGUCAGUGGAUACCAGUGUACUCGAAAUACGGUCAUUAAGGGGUUUAGGUUUAUAAACAUGACUGUCACUGCGGAGGUUAUAUCUGUGUGAUGUGGCAUAAGUUUGACCGCUAAUUAACCAUCACAUCUAAGCAACGGAUGAUCCCGGUAUUGAUGGAACAUGCAUUCCAUGGUGGUGCUGCGCUGCAAUUAGCUUGCCUUUUCUCUCUCUAAAUCUUCAAUCCCGUUUAUCACCCGACCUACUACGAGGGGAAAGAGAGAAGAGAGAGGUAUGGAGGAAGAAGAAUAGCAUGUACAUCAACAUGAGCCCAAUACAAGUAUAUGGAAAUUUCCAAAAAUAAAUAAAAUAAGUUACGUGAGGCGAUGUCAGCUCAUGCGUCAUCUAUCGGCGCGGUAAGGCUACAUUUUAAUCCGGUGAGUUGCCGCCUCAUGACAUGUGCAUUUGAUUCCACUCACAUUAUGAGAAGUGCAUACAUUCAGGAGGAACUCAUAUCCCCCCGUGCUAAUGUUUGGAACUCAUACUAAAACUGGCCUUCUACUUCAUCGUGUAUUUUAAAUAUUUUUCUGCAUAAAUUACAAUUUUUUUCGCUGAUUAUUGAGAAGUUGUUCACCAUGAUUUAAGAAAUGUUCGCCCGUAUUAAAAAACUUCAUCAUGUAUUAGAAAUUGUUCAUCUUGUACUUAAAAAUUGUCCGCAUUGUAAUUCAAAAUGUUUUUAUAUUCUAUUAAAGGUUUUUCAUGUAUUUUCUAAAAUAUUCAUAUAACUAAAACAUAUUUUCAUAUUUAAAAAUGUUCAAUAAUUUUAGAAGUGUCGUCCCAUAAUUUGAGAACUCAUACUAAUAUUUUCAUAUUUAAAAAUGUUCACCAAAAAACCUAAACAUGAAAAAUCUGAUCUCCAAAAAACCAAAAAAACAAAACAAAACA